RNAcentral lists this long non-coding RNA (1833 nucleotides) under Heterocephalus glaber (naked mole-rat). RNAcentral describes it as "lncRNA (ENSHGLG00000032062.1)". The record is from RNAcentral. Lineage: Eukaryota; Metazoa; Chordata; Mammalia; Rodentia; Bathyergidae.
GUAGGAGUCGUGGUGCAGUCCCCAACAUGUGCAACUGUCCCCUAAGUAUUUGAUGGUGAUAUUUUUCCUUCAAUUUCUUUGUAUUGUUUUUUUAAAAGCCACAAGGUGGUUAGGAUGGGAAACAAUUUUAACUUGAGGUCAACGUUCACAUAACAUAAACCAAGUAUUUAGAAAUGUACAGUCCAUUUUGCGCAUUCACAACAGUGUACAUCUGUUAGGGUUUAGACCUGGGGUGUCCCCCAGUCCCCUGCGUUCAGAGGUGGGGCACUGUCCUCAUCAGGCGAUUCACCCCAGCCACAUCUGCCCUCCCACCAUCCAACCAGCCGGCCCCCCUUUGGCUGUUCUGAAUACUGCUGUAGGAACAGUGCCCUGCCAGUGUUGUUCGCAUACCUGUUUUCAAUGCUUUGCUUUUCAUUUUUUGAGACAGCGUCUCCCUAUGUGAGACUGCCCUCGAACUCAGCGAUCCUCCUGCCUCAGCCUCCCGAGUGCUGGGAUGACAGGCAUGUGCCCAGACCUCCUGGGCACUUUGGGGCACACUCCUCAGAGCAGAAUUACUGGGUGUAUGAGAAUUCCGGUGUUUUGCCUUUUGAGGGCUUUCUGUACCUGUGUUUUAAAGCAGUUUGGUCCCAAGGACUUAACCAAGGGGCCUCUGGGUCGCCCUCGGCUCCGUACCGGUACCAGGCCCCAACAGUGCGGCCCGCAGAGGGGGUCUAGGGCCGGGACGGCGGCCUCCCUUGCAGUGCAGCCCGCGCGCUGUGGGGGCGCUCAGGAGGCAGCCCACGCGGGGCCUCCGCUUAGGAGCAGGAAGGCAGGGGCUGCAGGAGCCUAUGGUGGAGGAGCUAGGCACCAUCGUCCAUCAAGGUUGUAACCGACGGACAUCAGGCCGAGGAGCAGAGAAGGGGCCGACCGCGGGGGAGAGCAGGAGGACAGAGCCUUCCAGGCAGACAGCGCGGCCUGUGCAAAGGCCCUGCUCCCUCUUGUGGAUGACCCGAGGGAGGAGCUGGAGGACCCAGAGCAGUGGAGACCGCAGCCGAGGCUAGAGUGGCCCCUGGAGGAGGGGCGCUCUCUCUGUCCGUCCCAGGGCUGGUUCUCCUGACUUCUCCUCGAACCCAUGGCGGGGGGGCGGGCAGGAGCUGCCAGCUCAGCGCUUCGGACUCGGGGCUCAGUCGUACAGACGUUGUGCAGGGCGUCUGGAUGGGGGCUUUGGGGGCCCGGGCGAGGACGGCUCGGAGGGGAAGAGGGUGCGAGGAGGAGGAAGGGAACAUUACUGCACCCGCCUGCCAGACCCCGAGUCCCCCAGGCCUGCGGCGUCUCCGGUGCAGGUCAGGAGCUGCCGCCAGGCGCACCGUGGGGAAGGCGGCUGCAGACCGGGCCCGGCGGGGCGGCGCCCCGGGGAGCGUCUGUGUCAACGGAGCCCGUGCUGGAGGAAGAGCCCAGCUGGGGGGCCUGGCCCCCACGGGUGCCCAGCCCGGUGCCAUCGCUCUCCAAACCCCUCCUUCUCUGGAAUAAAGGCAGCCAGAACCCUGCUGCGAACUGCCACUCGCGGCAAAUUCCCAGGACCGACCUGCAAGUUGAGGCAGGCGCUGCUGCGCCAGAGCAGGGAGCCAGGAAGAAGGCUGGGGGAGCCAGGGUGCGAGGGGUGACCCCUGAGGCGCUGCCUCCUCCUGAGGCCCAGGGACAUGGCCGCCCGAGGGCUCCUAGAGGAACUGAGCUGCUGGGCUGCAGGGCCAGCGACGGCUCUGAGGACCCCAAGGAGGACAGAAGUAAAAGUGACUGCUCAGAACACCAGGCGCAGUCGAUGACCACACUGUGUCCGCUGCCUGGCACAUGCGC